AAUAUUUAAAUAAAUCUAACUAUAGAAAAUUCUUUUCAAAAUAAGCAGCGGAUAAUAAAAUUAAAACGCUCGAAGUAGUAGAUAAAAUAUAAAAUAGCGGUUUUAGAUAUUACAUACUUCAAAAACAUUGCUAAUUAGCAUAAACCUCGCUUAAUAAAAAUUGUUUUCUAAAAUAAUACAUUUACAAUAAAAUAAGAAUACAAGUACAAGACUCAAUAAACCCUUCCCCGUGUCACAAUCAGAGCGGAGCUUUCACUAACAACUCGAACACCAACAAACAUACAACCUGAGAACCUGAACCCCCAACGGUUCAUCACAAACACAAAACAGAGGGUUAGAUAACACAAUUAUUAACAGUGACUGAAUAUAAUUCAUAUCAGACACUGAAUAAAAUAAAUACAAUUGAGUAAAUUCAACUCAAACAAUCACCACAUAUAGACAUGUAUAGAUCUACUCAAACAUAUAUCAAAUAUAUUCAUACAUGUAUCAGACAUGCUCAGACAUGUAUUAGACAUAUUCAUUUAUCAAUUACUCAUCACAUUUGAGAAGUACAAACUCUCGAACAAAUAAAUGAAAUAUACAAUGUCGAGUACCAUUUAACAUUUAAGAAUUUCAUAUAAUUCCUAAUGCAUUCUAAUGUAACAUAGAUAUGAGAAGUACAAACUCUCGAACAAAUAAAUGAAAUAUAUAAUGUUGAGUACCAUUUAACAUUUAAGAAUUUCAUAUAAUUCCUAAUGCAUUCUAAUGUAACAUAGAUAUGAUGUCACCUAGACAUAUCUAUAUGUAUGUGGUACCAAUUCAUCAUAAUCUUGGAUAAUUUAACCCAAGUGUUUUAGAUCAUCGUCUCUAAAACAUUCUAGAUCAUCGUCUCUAGAAUAACAGUAAACUAGAUCAUCGUCUCUAGGAUACUCAUCAAUAAACACAACUUAUGAAUGCAUGAAAUGUGCAUAUACCAAACAUAUGAUUUUAUCUCAACUAUAACGUCAACAUAAUAUGGAUAACAUAAUCCAAAUAUUCUAAAUCAUCGUCUUUAGAAUACCUCUACUCAUGAUAAAUCAUCAUUUAUCAUCAUCAAAAAAUGAACAUCAUAAUUCAACAUCAUAGUCAAUAACAUUAUGAAUCAUCACCAAUACAUCAUCACGUAAUCACACUAAUCUUCAAUAAGAUUUAUUUAUCAAUAAUUCAUCAUCAUAAUCAUAAUACAUCAUUUACGAAUAUCAUGAUUUCAUCAUCUAUCAACAACCUAAUCAUCAUCAUUAAUCAACAACAUAUUCAUUUACAAGACACUAAAGUCUCAUACCAUCAAGGGUUCACCAAUUUCGAUUAAUUAAGCAUACGAAAGUUAUUUUAAACUAAACUAAUGCCAAAAAUAUAGGCAACAUCAUUAUCCAAGCAUAAUCUCAGAAAAUUGACUCCGGAAUCGGAAUCUACGCGAAAAACUGAGCAAAAUAGAUUCCGACAAAAAAAGUAGACAAAAAGUCAACGGUUACGAGUCAACAGGUAGCGUCAGCCAUAGCGUCGACUGGGGUUUAACGCAAAGUUCUGCAGAAUUUCAGAAAAGGCAUUUUGGAUUUCGGCUUACUCAUAUAAUCACUUAAAAACCCACGAAAUCACUUAAUAAAGCUCAAAAAAUUGAUAUCCAACUAAUACCAAACUUAUAGCUUAUUAAAAACAACUUAAAACAAACUUAAAUCAUCAAAACAACUUAUUUAAUCAUGGAUUUUCACUUAAACUUAUAAACUUACUAAGAGCACUUAAACUACAUCUUCAACAAUCAAAGUAAGUAUUUUUCUCAAAGCAAAUCAUCCAAUAAUCAUGAAUAAGCAUAUAGAUUUAUGUAUCAACACAUAAAACUCAUAAAUAAACAUAUUCCCAACUCCCACAUACAAACCCCCAAUUGAGAUGAUGAGAGUUUGGGCUAGAGAAAAAUGAUUUUCUCUCCUCUCAUAAAUUCAUCUCCAAUAAUCAUGUUACUAUCCCUCUUACCUUAACAAUUUAUUGGAACUUUGGUCCUUCCUCUUCAAUUCCUAAGCUUGUUCUUCCUCUCUUGGUUUUGCUCCUUUUCUCUUGUUCUUUCUCUAAACCCUUUCUCUAGCUCUCUUCUAUGUUUCAAGAGAAAAUGAAAUUCUCUUGCUGAUUAUUUUUUUUUCAUUUAUUUUGGUUUUUACUAAUUACUCCCUACACCUCCUCUUUACUCAACUCACCCCCAACCUCUUAGGCCCAACAUUACAUCUAGUUCAUCAACAUAAUCAUUCUUACUAAUCAUUAUGACUUAGUCUAAUUUCUCAUCUAAUUACUACUUAAUUACGACCACUAAGCCCCUACCAUAAAAUAAACACAUGAAUAAUUAAAUCAAUUAACCACAAAUAAA
RNAcentral lists this long non-coding RNA (2371 nucleotides) under Trifolium pratense (red clover). RNAcentral's name for it is "long non-coding RNA (TPRA_LNC003864)". Lineage: Eukaryota; Viridiplantae; Streptophyta; Magnoliopsida; Fabales; Fabaceae. The record is from RNAcentral.